CCAAACUCCACAAGGGAUAGAACUACAGGAGAGAAGUGAAAUAGUUUCGUCCACCUCUACAUGGAUUUCUUCAUUGGUAAAAUAAUAAAACAAUGCACCAUCAGUAAAUAAUCGCAGCCUGAUACCUAGCCCCACCAACCAACGUCCUUUUAAAUCUAAAUUCCCUGUGUUCACAAUUAAAAUGAACCUAUCUGCAACCAGUUGUACAGCCUUGGUACAGCCUUGGUGUCAUAUGGCUCUGCUUUCUUUUCCACCAGUAUUCAAAAUCUUGUUCUUGUGUAGACAUGCACUAGAGGGUGUCAUCAGACUUUUACGUUCCACCAUACAGGAAAAAGAAAGUCUUCUGGUCCAGUUUGCAUUGCACCAAAUGAACAUAAAA
Molecule: non-coding RNA, 379 nt
Organism: Pelobates cultripes (western spadefoot toad)
Lineage: Eukaryota; Metazoa; Chordata; Amphibia; Anura; Pelobatidae
Source: the annotation of a GenBank genome assembly